Molecule: ribosomal RNA, 672 nt
Filed under: Bifidobacterium pseudolongum
Lineage: Bacteria; Bacillati; Actinomycetota; Actinomycetes; Bifidobacteriales; Bifidobacteriaceae
Description: bacterial SSU rRNA
Rfam family: Bacterial small subunit ribosomal RNA
Source: RNAcentral
ACGGGAUCCUUGGCAGCUUGCUGCCGGGGUGAGAGUGGCGAACGGGUGAGUAAUGCGUGACCGACCUGCCCCAUGCACCGGAAUAGCUCCUGGAAACGGGUGGUAAUGCCGGAUGUUCCACAUGAGCGCAUGCGAGUGUGGGAAAGGCUUUUUGCGGCAUGGGAUGGGGUCGCGUCCUAUCAGCUUGUUGGUGGGGUAACGGCCUACCAAGGCGUUGACGGGUAGCCGGCCUGAGAGGGCGACCGGCCACAUUGGGACUGAGAUACGGCCCAGACUCCUACGGGAGGCAGCAGUGGGGAAUAUUGCACAAUGGGCGCAAGCCUGAUGCAGCGACGCCGCGUGCGGGAUGGAGGCCUUCGGGUUGUAAACCGCUUUUGUUCAAGGGCAAGGCACGGUUUCGGCCGUGUUGAGUGGAUUGUUCGAAUAAGCACCGGCUAACUACGUGCCAGCAGCCGCGGUAAUACGUAGGGUGCAAGCGUUAUCCGGAUUUAUUGGGCGUAAAGGGCUCGUAGGCGGUUCGUCGCGUCCGGUGUGAAAGUCCAUCGCUUAACGGUGGAUCCGCGCCGGGUACGGGCGGGCUUGAGUGCGGUAGGGGAGACUGGAAUUCCCGGUGUAACGGUGGAAUGUGUAGAUAUCGGGAAGAACACCAAUGGCGAAGGCAGGUCUCUGGGC